Molecule: long non-coding RNA, 1035 nt
Organism: Leptopilina heterotoma
Lineage: Eukaryota; Metazoa; Arthropoda; Insecta; Hymenoptera; Figitidae
Exons: 3
Source: RefSeq, a predicted model, not a curated record
UCAGUUAAUCGAAGAUACAGUAGAACGUACGAAUGCCUUCCCCCUGAAGUUGCUGCAGAAAAAUGAUAAUUUAUUGUCAAACUUGAGUUUCUAUAUCCCAUGCCUAAAAAAUUGACGUGUGUUUUGAUGUCAUCGUUGGUCAUCGUUGUAAACAUUAAACAGUUUAAUGUUUACCAUUACAUUAAAGUUAAAAAUACAUUAAAAUUUUUAAAAAAUGGUAAUGAAUGGUGAAAAAAAGUUAGUGAUUAAAGUGAGGUGAGAAAUAUUUUUAUAUUGCAUCAGUAUAAAAGUUUCAUGAAGCUGCCGAAUUAAUUGAUCAUAGGAAAAUUGUAUAAAGAAAACAAUGUAGGGACAAUUUUCAUCAUUGCAUCAACAAUUUUCCAAAAAUGAAGCACUACCUAUUCGUGGCACGCGAGGUUGUCAAAUGCGAAAAAUGCGUUGUCCUUGGUUUUCAAUCCUGGGCGAAGCACGUACCCUAGAACAAUUGGAACGAAAUGAUGGCGAAUUGUCUCUUCUGCAAAAGGAGAAUGCCAUCAUUGAUGGGAGAAACAUUUCCCCGCACCAAAUCGGAACCGAAUGUGUUAUAUAACUGGUGAUUUGCACCAGACUCAGAGUGUAGCUGAAAUUGAGUUGAUCUGGCGGUGGUUCGAGCCCUUCAUUGAAGAACGGAAUUUCAGAGAAGAAUCGAAAUGGAAUUGGAAUUUAAAUUAACAUGCCGCAAAAGUGAAAAGAACAAUAAAUUCGCCAUUAGUGACUCUGACGUAGGACUCUCAAGACGAGUCACUUUUGACAUUUGCAAGAUUUUUUAAUAAAAAAUAAAUUUUUGGGACCAAAAAAAUUAUUUUUAUUUGUUUUUUUUUUUUUCAAUUUUUCGCUAAAAAAGUAAGUGUUCCAGGAGACAUUAGUUCAAAUAAGUUCUUUGGCUUGCUGAUUAUUUGCCUGCUCGAUUUUAUCUCUCAAGACGAAUCACUUUUGAUAUUUGCAAGAGUUUUUAAUGAAAAAUAAAUUUGUGGGACCAAAAAAAUGAUUUUUAUU